AUGACGGCACAUGUGGCUGACUUUGGCAUUGCAAGGUUGAUGCUAGAUGACAACUCCGUGAUAUGUGCGAGCAUGCCUGGAACAGUUGGGUACAUGGCACCAGAGUACGGAUCACUUGGAAAAGCCUCAAGGAAGAGCGACGUUUUUAGUUAUGGAAUCAUGCUCCUUGAAGUCUUCACCGGAAGAAGACCCACUGAUGUCAUGUUCGGCACACAACUAACCCUUAGGAAGUGGGUUCAUCACGCAUUUCCUGCUGAGCUUGUCCGAGUCGUCGAUGGCCAGCUUCUGCAAGGCUCCUCCCUUUCAAGUUGCAGGUUGGACAAUGGCAUUCUUGCAUCAGUCUUUGAGGUGGGUUUGCGAUGUUCUAGUGACUCUCCACAACAGACGAUGACAAUGCGUGAUGUGGUCGUGACGCUGAAGAACAUCAAAGCCGAGCACACCAAAUUUGUAGCAACUACACCAACUAGUGCAGCACGGUGA
This 480-nucleotide ribosomal RNA is filed under the name Triticum aestivum (bread wheat). RNAcentral describes it as "partial small subunit ribosomal RNA". Lineage: Eukaryota; Viridiplantae; Streptophyta; Magnoliopsida; Poales; Poaceae. The record is from RNAcentral.